CUGCAAAAAAUCAUGGUCCCAAAUUGAAGGUUGGUAGUUUGCUGAUCUCCUAUCAACUGUCAAAUUAUCAUAUUUGGCGCUGACAAGGCAUUGGACUGGCUUAUUUUUGGCCAUGAUUCUGAUGGCUGCUUUAUUUGUUGUAAGAGGAAGACAUUUGAAACCAUUUACAGAGGUAACCAAGGUUGAGGGAUUAAUGCAAGAAGACAUUGGAUAUACAGAUGUUGUGUAAGCUAGCUUACUGUCAAAUUAUAUAUAUAUAUAGGCAGAGGAGAAGUUCAAGUGAUUUAUUUUUCGUGCUCAUUUUUUCUGAGUUUUGAAAGCGUUUAAUUUUUAAGUCUUAAUAGUACAAAGGUAUUUUAUUCAUUUGGGGGAAAAAAAAAGGAGUACAUCAUACUGUGCGAACGAGGUCAUUAUUGUACCAGAAGACACAUACAUCAUCCAUAUAUUCGGAUGAAUGUUGUAUAAUCUUUAUUUAUUUAUCUUUUUUUUUUCCUGCAUACAAAUUUUUUAAAGAGUCUUUCAAUAAACUACACAAUAAAUGCACGCAGAAAUGACAAGAAAUUCAUAAAUUCAAUUCUACUAAUAAAAGUUCUAUUUAUUACAUUAAAAUCUUGUUUUAUGUAGAAAUAAGAAUAUACAAAGUAAAUUUAAGGGAAAAAAAAGGCAUACAAAGUUGCAAACAAUAUCUUAAUGUUGAGCACUAACAUCAAAAUUCUAUCUGUUACAGUUAUAAAGUACUUUUGCGGAAAACAAAUUAAUAAAUUUCAAAGUGAUUAUCAACAAAAAGUUGAUUGGAGAUAAUGGAUUUUAAUAUAUUGUAGAUUGUGAUCAUUUGUAAUAAUUUCAAAAAACUUCCAUUUAACAGCGGUUGGUGAAUGGGUGUUGUAAAAUAAUUUUAAUAUUUGACAACAAGCGAAAGAAUGUUGUUAAAAACUCUUCAAUAGAUGUUCAAUCUCACAACGUUCUACAAAAGCGCGUUGUGAAAAAAUUCUAAUAAUUGACAACUAGUGUAAAAUCGUUAUAAAUUUUUAAUCCCAUUCAAUCCAUGAAUUAGUAAAAUUAAUCUAAAUUCAAUUCAUAAUUCUGCAGAUUAGAAGUGGAUUUGAUACAAUCCAUAUUCAUUCCACUUUUGCGAAUUCGAUACGGAUUUAAAAAAAAAUUCUUUCUAUUCAAUUCAUAAAAUAAUUAAAUAAAAAUUUUAAUUAUAAAAAUAAUUUUACUGCAUGCCAAUCAAAUUCAAAUUUAAACAAGAUCUAAAUAAAUCAAUAGUUUAAAUACGGGUUUAGGAAUGCUAUGUUAAUAGGGUCUUUAUACCGCCACCCCAACAUCUAUUAAAUCAAUCAACAUACGUUUUGAAACAAAUAUAAUCCGGAAGCCAUAUACCAUUUCAGCUUUACUCCCUAUUCUCUCUUAAAUAAAACUAUGAAAACACUGGAGUAAUUGGUUUCAGCUUCGGUGUAGGAUAGGUUGGAGGUGAUGACACGCGACGACAGCUACUGAAAGACUAUUCGUUUUUUAAGAUGCCAUUCAAAGUUUCGAACUUUAGCACACCAAAAUAAAAAAUCCUGAUGUUUCUGGAUCAGUGGAUGAAAAUCAACUUAAGUUUUAGAAUUAAAUCAAUACAAAAGUUGAAAUUUGAAAGCUUAUAUAAUUAAUUGUUGUCAACGUCCACCCUAACUAGAUUUUAACCUAUUUACUAGUAGUAUAACAUUUUUAAAUUUUAAAUUCUUUAAAUUAUAUACACACACGGAUUUGCUGAUUUUCAGGGAUUUGGAGAAGCAAGUCCAUUUCAUCAAUUGUCGAUUUUAAAAUUUUUCAAUCCAUCUAAUCUGUCAAUUCAGCUCUUCUGCUCGUCUUUUGUAUGUUUCAUCCUGUACACGCACAGCAUUUUGUUUUUAGCUAUUCAUGGUGCCAAUUUGAAAUGAACAAAGGAAAUUAAUAUGUAAUAAUAAUAAUAUUGAAUACCGUAUAGUUGCUAUUCAAUGACUGCAAAAAAUCAUGGUCCCAAAUUGAAGGUUGGUAGUUUGCUGAUCUCCUAUCAACUGUCAAAUUAUCAUAUUUGGCGCUGACAAGGCAUUGGACCGGCUUAUUUUUUGCCAUGAUUCUGAUGGCUGCUUUAUUUGUUGCAAGAGGAAGACAUUUGAAACCAUUUACAGAGGUAACCAAGGUUAAGGGAUUAAUGGAAGAAGACAUUGGAUAUACAGAUGUAGUGUAAGCUAGCUUACAGUUAUACUUGGCAAAGAUUCUCAAAUUAUUCUAUGGUUUGUGGUGAUGUUCGAGGUUAUAUAUAGGCAGAGGAGAAGUUCAUGUGAUUUAUUUUUCUCACUCAUUUUUUCUGAGGUUUGAAAGCGUUUAAUUUUUAAGUUUAAUAGUACAAAGGUGUUUUAUUCAUUUGGGGGGACCCACAAAGGAGUACAUCAUACUGUGCGAACGAGGUCAGUAUUGUGCCAGAAGACACAUACAUCAUCCAUACAUUCGGAUGAAUGUUGUAUAAUCUUUAUUUAUUUAUCUUUUUUUUUCCUGCCUACAAAUUUUUUAAAGAGUCUUUCAAUAAACUACACAAUAAAUGCACGCAGAAAUGACAAGAAAUUCAUAAAUUCAAUUCUACUAAUAAAAAUUCUAUUUAUUACAUUAAAAUCUUAUUUUAUGUAGAAAUAAGAAUAUAAAAAGUAAAUUUAAGGAAAAAAAGGCGGAUUCACCGAAGUUGCAACAGUUGCAACGUACCAGGAUUUUUGUCUUUUUGUGACUUCAGCUCUUCACCGUCCGAUUUAAUGAAAAAGCAGCGUCUAUGGUAAGGAUGUGUCUGUUUGGUAAUUAACGUUACGGUCCCUAUUUUUUUGAAAAUUCAACAAAGUUAAAGAGUUACAGCUUUUAAUGCACAAGUCUGAAUUAUCUCAAAAUUGUAAAUAAUUAGACAAUUAAAAUUAGGAGAAAUUUCAUUAACAUUUUCAUUGUUAAAAAUAAAAAAUAAAUAAAUUUAAUUUGUGAAUAAAAUUAAAAUUUAAAAUAUUAAAAAUUAUUUCAAAAAUCAUUUCCAAUUUCUUCAUCUUAUCCAUCUCAUGUGCCAUGAAGUGGAACCGAAAGUAAUUACAACAAAUAAUCAUAGAAUGAAAUAAUAGAUAUCGUCAAUUUAAGUUAGUAAAGCAUUAACCAAUUACUCCUUUCGUUAGCCUAAACCAUUAAUUUGGUUUAGUACCUAGAGGCUGGAACUUCAACAUAAAAUAAUUAAAAAAAUGUAAUUCCAGAUUAUUAAUUUAAGUUUCAACCUAAAUUGUAGUGAAAUUUCCCAGUUAUUACUAUUUUUUAUGAUGUUAUAUUAGUAUGUCAAUAUUUAAUAUUCAAAAUAGUAAGAAUAUGUUUAACAUAUUAACAUUUACAAAAGAGUAGAAGAAUAAAAUUCAUAAUUAUGAUACUUCAAUUCUAAUCAAAUUAUAUUGAUAUGCAUUAAUUCAAUAAGCCUAUACACCUAAAUAAGCUAAAUACUAGGAGCUUUACUAUUCCUAAGUUAUACAUUGUAGAUUAUUAUAACAGUCAUAGAUUAUUAUAACUUUUUUAAUUAACAUAACAUUCUCAAACAGUUAAUUAAAACUCUUUUGCCAAUUAAAGUUGGUAGAAAAAAUCGAAUCCCAAAUCCCGUACCAAAUGGUACAUGAUACGGUAUAUGACUUAAAAAAUAUUUAAAAUAAAUAGAAAUUUGAGAUUAAAUUUAUUCUCAUUAAAACUCGGGACUAGUCAGGACUUCAAUUGGGAUCCCGAUGGAAUCCUAAUUAUACCAAAUUAUUUUAAUUUUCUAAUUUAAUUAAAAUGUUAAAAAAAUCAUGCACAGCUUUUAGCUUUUAGUUAUACACGAUUGCAGAGAAUUCAUGGUCCCAAUUUGAAAUGAACAAAUUAAAUUAAUGUGUAAUAAUAAUAAUGAAUACCGUAUAGUCGCUAUUCAAUGACUGCAAAAAAUAAUGGUCCCAAAUUGAAGAUUGGUAGUUUGCUAAUCUCCUGUCACCUGUUAAAUUAUAAUAUUUGGCGCUGACAAGGCAUGGGACUGGCUUAUUUUUGGCAAUGAUUCUGAUGGCUGCUUUAUUUGUUGCAAGAGGAAGACAUUUGAAACCAUUUACAGUGGUAAACAAGGUUGAGGGAUUAAUGCAAGAAGACAUUGGAUAUACAGAUGUAGAGUAAGCUAGCUUACAGUUAUACUUGGCAAAGAUAUUUUUCUCCAUUUCCUUUGAGAUCAAUUUCAAAACGAAAGAGUUCAGCAGCUUUGCACGAAAACUCUGGAACACUAGUGAUUAAGCACUUGCGAUUAAACAAUUGUUUGUUAAUGUUUACACAGUGCGACAGAGGAGCCUGCCACCUCACUACACGUUAGUGUAGCACAUGAGAAACCUCCGUUUGAAAAAUUAGACUAGUUGGUAGCGGCCGUGCCCGGGAAGCCUCUCUUCUUUGACACAAUAUGACACAAAUUAUUAACAAUCAAAUCACAAUUUUGAUAAGUUUCGUGAAAUAUAAAAAUAAUAGAAAUACAGAUGAUUAAAAAUUUGUUAAAG
Molecule: long non-coding RNA, 4538 nt
Filed under: Citrus x clementina
Lineage: Eukaryota; Viridiplantae; Streptophyta; Magnoliopsida; Sapindales; Rutaceae
Description: Citrus clementina (C. clementina) long non-coding RNA (CCLE_LNC002459)
Source: RNAcentral